RNAcentral lists this ribosomal RNA (253 nucleotides) under uncultured bacterium. RNAcentral's name for it is "partial 16S ribosomal RNA". It matches the Rfam family "Bacterial small subunit ribosomal RNA", at positions 524 to 776 of the family's 1533-position model. The record is from RNAcentral.
UACGUAGGGUGCAAGCGUUAAUCGGAAUUACUGGGCGUAAAGCGUGCGCAGGCGGUUUUGUAAGUCUGUCGUGAAAGCCCCGGGCUCAACCUGGGAACUGCAAUGGAAACUGGCGGGCUUGAAUGCGGCAGAGGGGGGUGGAAUUCCGCGUGUAGCAGUGAAAUGCGUAGAGAUGCGGAGGAACACCGAUGGCGAAGGCAGCCCCCUGGCCCGACAUUGACGCUCAGGCACGAAAGCGUGGGGAGCAAACAGG